UUGAAUUGAAUGGCUUAUGAUAAUAAAUGAGCAUGAAUGGCUAAACUGAUUUUGGUGUUAGAAUUAUUUAUACUGUGUAUUCAGCCUUGAGAGGCUAAGUUGCGAUAAAUUGUCAUGUCAUGUUAGAAUGAAUUUUAUUGAUUGGUGGAUUAUAUAUUAAUUAUUUACUGCAGAGGGGGUUCCGUGGACCAACCUAUUAGAGGGGCACGGUAAACUCCAUUAUAUUAUUACCUCGAACGGAGAUGUGCGUAGGGUAUCUCCUGGGGUAAAGCUUAGGGUUCACUUCACGCCAAACCACCACGUGAAGGGGAACUCAGCCAACGCCAAGGAACGACUGUAUUUUUCUCAAACUAAAAUAUAUUUUAAGUGUAUACAAAAUUUUAACAGCCUUGGCGGACUUGGUUGGAUGCCCUGCGCAAGGUAUCACCGAG
RNAcentral lists this long non-coding RNA (431 nucleotides) under Theobroma cacao (cacao). RNAcentral's name for it is "long non-coding RNA (TCAC_LNC001875)". The record is from RNAcentral. Lineage: Eukaryota; Viridiplantae; Streptophyta; Magnoliopsida; Malvales; Malvaceae.